AUGCACGCUGGCGGCGUGCCUCAUACCUGCAAGUCGCGCGAACAGACGAGGAGCUUGCUCCUCUGACGUUAGCGGCGGCCGGGUGAGUAACACGUGGAUAACCUACCUAUAAGACUGGGAUAACUUCGGGAAACCGGAGCUAAUACCGGAUAAUAUAUUGAACCGCAUGGUUCAAUAGUGAAAGACGGUUUUGCUGUCACUUAUAGAUGGAUCCGCGCCGCAUUAGCUAGUUGGUAAGGUAACGGCUUACCAAGGCAACGAUGCGUAGCCGACCUGAGAGGGUGAUCGGCCACACUGGAACUGAGACACGGUCCAGACUCCUACGGGAGGCAGCAGUAGGGAAUCUUCCGCAAUGGGCGAAAGCCUGACGGAGCAACGCCGCGUGAGUGAUGAAGGUCUUCGGAUCGUAAAACUCUGUUAUUAGGGAAGAACAAAUGUGUAAGUAACUAUGCACGUCUUGACGGUACCUAAUCAGAAAGCCACGGCUAACUACGUG
This 496-nucleotide ribosomal RNA is filed under the name uncultured bacterium. Its description in RNAcentral is "partial 16S ribosomal RNA". It matches the Rfam family "Bacterial small subunit ribosomal RNA", at positions 29 to 507 of the family's 1533-position model. The record is from RNAcentral.